Molecule: ribosomal RNA, 253 nt
Filed under: uncultured bacterium
Lineage: Bacteria
Description: partial 16S ribosomal RNA
Rfam family: Bacterial small subunit ribosomal RNA
Source: RNAcentral
UACGGAGGAUCCAAGCGUUAUCCGGAUUUAUUGGGUUUAAAGGGUGCGUAGGCGGCCUGUUAAGUCAGGGGUGAAAGACGGUAGCUUAACUAUCGCAGUGCCCUUGAUACUGAUGGGCUUGAAUAUACUAGAGGUAGGCGGAAUGUGACAAGUAGCGGUGAAAUGCAUAGAUAUGUCACAGAACACCAAUUGCGAAGGCAGCUUACUAUGGUAUUAUUGACGCUGAGGCACGAAAGCGUGGGGAUCAAACAGG